This is an RNA transcript of Glycine soja, 2036 nucleotides long. RefSeq lists it as uncharacterized. The record is from RefSeq and is a predicted model, not a curated record. NCBI's taxonomy places the organism in Eukaryota, Viridiplantae, Streptophyta, Magnoliopsida, Fabales, Fabaceae. The transcript has 15 exons.
UAUUAUGGCACGAUCCCUUGACCUCUUCUCUUCUUCGACGCAACCUGACUUGAGAACAAAAGCGAGUGUGAGUCUCAUGGGCAUGCAGACGCUGACCCUCUUUCGCUUCCCCCACCCUAUUUCUCAAAACGCUGUCGUUCCCCAACACGCCAUGUCCCGCUCCUCCGAAACCUCCUUUCCCACCCUCACUACUAUCUCCAUCUCUUUCUCUCAACUCCAAGAUAAGAACGCCGACUUGUCGUUCAAGAUUGAAGAAGGCUUUGGACCCAAUGGAUUGGGGAUUCUAUCCGUCACUGAUGUCCCAGGAUACUCUUCAUUGCGCAGAAAUCUAUUGCAUCUUGCACCAAGAUUGGCAAAUCUUCCCAAAGAAGUGAAGGAGGAUCUUGAAGAUCCUCAUAGUAGGUACAAUUUUGGUUGGAGUCAUGGGAAAGAGAAACUUGAAUCUGGGAAGCCAGAUAUUUUAAAAGGAUCUUUCUAUGCCAAUCCCAUACUUGAUACACCUACAACAGAGACUUCUUUGAUACAACGGUAUCCAUCAUAUUGCGGCUCAAAUAUAUGGCCUAGAAAUGCUUUACCAGAACUUGAAGUGGCUUUCAAAGCACUUGGGAAGCUGAUAUUUGACAUUGGAUUGAUGUUGGCAUAUCACUGCGAUCAAUAUGUAUCCAAAGGGAUGAAAAUUCACAAGGAUGAAGGUCUGGAAUCAAUACUUCGUUGCUCCCGCUGUCAUAAAGGACGUUUGCUAUAUUAUUUUCCUUCACAACAGGGAGUCCCAGAUGGCAACUCUUUGUCUUCUUGGUGUGGAUGGCAUACUGACCACGGUUCACUGACAGGUCUGACUUGUGGUAUGUUUACGAGAGAUGGUGUAGAAAUUGCUUGCCCUGAUAGUGCUGCUGGCCUCUAUAUUCGAACAAGAAAUAAUCAAAUUAUCAAAGUUGUCUAUGGAAAAGAUGAUAUAGCAUACCAAAUUGGUGAAACCACUGAAAUACUUUCUGGAGGUUAUCUUUGUGCAACACCUCAUUGUGUUCAGGCUCCUACGGGGGAGGAGUCCUCUGGUAUUGAGCGCUCAACAUUUGCAUUAUUCAUGCAGCCUGACUGGGAUGAAAAGCUCAAUUUACCCGAGAAAGUUCACAUUCAUAAAGAGGUAUGUAUUCUUGACGUCAUGAUCAUUCUUCACAUUCAGCAUGAAACAAGACACCAUAUAAGAUUUGAAUUAGUAAAAGAUGACAUUGAAAAACAAAGAAAGAAAGAAAAGAGAAGAAAAGGAGUGACUUUGCAUUAUCAUCUGUGACAUGCAAGGCAAUAACAUUUCAGGUUCCACCCAAUAAGUAGGUUUUUUCUACGUAACCUCUGAAUUUACUGGAUGGUGGAACCGGAGAAUAUUUCAUGUUUAACAACUACAAAUCCAUCUCACUUUGAAAUCUGUGAACCUAGCAUUCUGCAUGGUAUUAUGUUGACAUCUAGAUGAUACGGCCCGAACCUGCUGCCUCCUUGGUAUUAAAAGAGGUAAGCUGUAUUUCUAAAGUCCAGAAUGGGCUUAUGGGCUGAAUUUUUAUCAUUUUUUUUUCCAGCUUAUUCCAUCAAAUGCUGCCCUUACUUUUGGAGAGUAUUCAGAGAUGCUGCUCGACAAAUAUUACCACCAAAAACAGAACUAACUUGUUACUUCUCUGCCAACAAGCAUAACUGGUUGAAGAGACUUAGCCUGUGAAUUCAUGAGACUAAAAUAAAAUUGUGUGAAUGUGUAGUCGCUAUUGGAUAAUCUCAAAAGAAAAGAAUAACUGGGUAAGGUUACAAGGGUAACUGGUUGAAGAAACUUAGCCGGUUAAUUCACGGGUAAAUGUGUAGUCGCUAUUGGGGUAAUAGCAAAAGAAAAAGAAAAUUCUUAUAGAUUACGUGGAAUAGCAACAUUUAAUUUAUUUAACAGGAUAUUAACUUAUGGGAUGGAAUGAAAGUUACAGUACAAUCCAAUACUUAUGUUCUUUUUCUUUUUAGUGGGAAGUAAUGCAAUGAUAUAACCUACUUGUGAUAGGAUUUAAGCA